AUGAACGCUGGCGGCAUGCCUAAUACAUGCAAGUCGAACGAAGUUUCGAGGAAGCUUGCUUCCAAAGAGACUUAGUGGCGAACGGGUGAGUAACACGUAGGUAACCUGCCCAUGUGUCCGGGAUAACUGCUGGAAACGGUAGCUAAAACCGGAUAGGUAUACAGAGCGCAUGCUCAGUAUAUUAAAGCGCCCUUCAAGGCGUGAACAUGGAUGGACCUGCGGCGCAUUAGCUAGUUGGUGAGGUAACGGCCCACCAAGGCAAUGAUGCGUAGCCGGCCUGAGAGGGUAAACGGCCACAUUGGGACUGAGACACGGCCCAAACUCCUACGGGAGGCAGCAGUAGGGAAUUUUCGUCAAUGGGGGAAACCCUGAACGAGCAAUGCCGCGUGAGUGAAGAAGGUCUUCGGAUCGUAAAGCUCUGUUGUAAGUGAAGAACGGCUCAUAGAGGAAAUGCUAUGGGAGUGACGGUAGCUUACCAGAAAGCCACGGCUAACUACGUGCC
RNAcentral lists this ribosomal RNA (502 nucleotides) under uncultured bacterium. RNAcentral's name for it is "bacterial SSU rRNA". It matches the Rfam family "Bacterial small subunit ribosomal RNA", at positions 29 to 509 of the family's 1533-position model. The record is from RNAcentral.